AUUGAACGCUGGCGGCAGGCCUAACACAUGCAAGUCGAGCGGAGCGGCGGACGGGCGAGUAAUGCCUAGGAAUCUGCCUGGUAGUGGGGGAUAAAGUCCGGAAACGGGCGCUAAUACCGCAUACUAUCAGAUGAGCCUCGGGCGGAUGAGCUCUUUGGUGGGGUAAAGGCCUACCAAGGCGACGAUCCGUAACUGGUAUGAGAGGAUGAUCAGUCAAACUGGAACUGAGACACGGUCCAGACUCCUACGGGAGGCCGCAGUGGGGAAUAUUGGACAAUGGGCGAAAGCCUGAUCCAGCCAUGCCGCGUGUGUGAAGAAGGUCUUCGGAUUGUAAAGCACUUUAAGUUGGGAGGCGUUACCAACAGAAUAAGCACCGGCUAACUUCGUGCCAGCAGCCGCGGUAAUUC
RNAcentral lists this ribosomal RNA (407 nucleotides) under uncultured bacterium. RNAcentral describes it as "partial 16S ribosomal RNA". It matches the Rfam family "Bacterial small subunit ribosomal RNA", at positions 30 to 526 of the family's 1533-position model. The record is from RNAcentral.